This 740-nucleotide ribosomal RNA is filed under the name uncultured bacterium. Its description in RNAcentral is "bacterial SSU rRNA". It matches the Rfam family "Bacterial small subunit ribosomal RNA", at positions 8 to 796 of the family's 1533-position model. The record is from RNAcentral.
AGAGUUUGAUCCUGGCUCAGAACGAACGCUGGCGGCGCGCCUAACACAUGCAAGCCGGACGCACUCGCAAGAGUGAGUGGCGGACGGGUGAGUAACACGUGGGAACCUGCCCUGGGGUCUGGGAUAGCUGCGGGAAACUGCAGGUAACACCGGAUGCGCCCUAUGGGGGAAAGUUUACGCCCUGGGAUGGGCCCGCGUCGGAUUAGGUAGUUGGUGGGGUAAUGGCCUACCAAGCCUUCGAUCCGUAACCGGUCUGAGAGGAUGAUCGGUCACACUGGGACUGAGACACGGCCCAGACUCCUACGGGAGGCAGCAGUGGGGAAUCUUGGACAAUGGGGGCAACCCUGAUCCAGCGACGCCGCGUGGGUGAUGAAGGCCUUCGGGUCGUAAAGCCCUUUUGCCGGGGAAGAUGAUGACGGUACCCGGAGAAGAAGCACCGGCUAACUCUGUGCCAGCAGCCGCGGUAAGACAGAGGGUGCUAGCGUUGUUCGGAAUUACUGGGCGUAAAGGGCGCGUAGGCGGCCCGUUUAGUCGGGUGUGAAAUCCCAAGGCUCAACCUUGGAACUGCAUUCGAUACUGGCGGGCUAGAGACCGGAAGAGGUGGGUGGAAUACCCAGUGUAGAGGUGAAAUUCGUAGAUAUUGGGUGGAACACCGGUGGCGAAGGCGGCUCACUGGUCCGGUUCUGACGCUGAGGCGCGAAAGCGUGGGGAGCAAACAGGAUUAGAUACCCUAGUAGUCC